UACGGAGAGGGCUAGCGUUAUUCGGAAUUAUUGGGCGUAAAGAGCGCGUAGGCUGGUUAGUAAGUUAAAAGUGAAAUCCCGAGGCUCAACCUUGGAAUUGCUUUUAAAACUGCUAAUCUAGAGAUUGAAAGAGGGUAGAGGAAUUCCUAGUGUAGAGGUGAAAUUCGUAAAUAUUAGGAGGAACACCAGUGGCGAAGGCGUCUAUCUGGUUCAAAUCUGACGCUGAGGCGCGAAGGCGUGGGGAGCAAACAGG
RNAcentral lists this ribosomal RNA (253 nucleotides) under uncultured bacterium. RNAcentral describes it as "partial 16S ribosomal RNA". It matches the Rfam family "Bacterial small subunit ribosomal RNA", at positions 524 to 776 of the family's 1533-position model. The record is from RNAcentral.